GAAUGUAAGUUUUUGACUGAGAACUCGCAUUGUAUCAGCUCAAAACGUCUACAGCAGUGUUUUCCUGUCGCGGUCAACAACCAUUCGUCUGCCCUGCCUGCGCUUUCGCACGGGGUCCUAAUGUGUGUGUGUGUGUUACAGGAUUGGAAGUGUGCAUUCCUAAUACCUGCAACGAGACUAACCGAGCCGCAAGGGCCCCUCGUCUCCUGGAACUGGAUUGUUAGUUGCAUCUUGCACACCAUGUGCACCGUCGUGGUGCUGCCUAAUCAAAAGACAGCGCUUAGACCAAAUAUCCUAAUAGGUCCUAAUAGUUUGCAAUUGCUUAUGCAUGCAAAUAUCUGCUUGC
RNAcentral lists this long non-coding RNA (346 nucleotides) under Chlamydomonas reinhardtii. RNAcentral describes it as "long non-coding RNA (CREI_LNC000225)". The record is from RNAcentral. Lineage: Eukaryota; Viridiplantae; Chlorophyta; Chlorophyceae; Chlamydomonadales; Chlamydomonadaceae.